CAUCGUUUAAUGUAAAAAUAUUAAAUACUGUCUGCCCAAUGAUUUUAAUGGCCGCAGUAUCCUGACUGUGCAAAGGUAGCAUAAUCAUUUGUCUUUUAAUUGAAGGCUUGUAUGAAUGGCGUAACGGAGGAAAGUCUUUCCCCUUUUUAACAACUCAAUUUAAUCUAUGAGUCAAAAAGCUCAUAUGGUAAAGCAGGACGAGAAGACCCCUUAGAUCUUUAUAAAAAAUAGAUAAACAUUUAUAGAAUUAUUAUAAGUUUAAACUAUAAAUUUAUUGAAUUGGGGUGAUUAGAGAUUAAAUAACAUCUCUAAAUUAAACUUUUAUAAAAGGACUAAAGACCCAUAAAAUUGAGUAUAAAAUUAAGUUACCUAGGGGAUAACAGCGUAAUUUAGAUUUAGAGUCCUUAUCAAAAUUUAAGAUUGCGACCUCGAUGUUGGAUUAAGAUACAGCACAAAUGCAGCAGUUUGUGUUUGGGGUCUGUUCGACCUUUAAAUUCUUACAU
This 503-nucleotide ribosomal RNA is filed under the name Cloeodes pseudogladius. RNAcentral describes it as "partial 16S ribosomal RNA". It matches the Rfam family "Bacterial large subunit ribosomal RNA", at positions 1827 to 2601 of the family's 2925-position model. The record is from RNAcentral. Lineage: Eukaryota; Metazoa; Arthropoda; Insecta; Ephemeroptera; Baetidae.